RNAcentral lists this ribosomal RNA (491 nucleotides) under uncultured bacterium. RNAcentral's name for it is "partial 16S ribosomal RNA". It matches the Rfam family "Bacterial small subunit ribosomal RNA", at positions 29 to 507 of the family's 1533-position model. The record is from RNAcentral.
AGUGAACGCUGGCGGUAGGCCUAACACAUGCAAGUCGAACGGCAGCACAGUAAGAGCCUGCUCUUACGGGUGGCGAGUGGCGGACGGGUGAGGAAUACAUCGGAAUCUACUUUUUCGUGGGGGAUAACGUAGGGAAACUUACGCUAAUACCGCAUACGACCUACGGGUGAAAGCAGGGGAUCUUCGGACCUUGCGCGAUUGAAUGAGCCGAUGUCGGAUUAGCUAGUUGGCGGGGUAAAGGCCCACCAAGGCGACGAUCCGUAGCUGGUCUGAGAGGAUGAUCAGCCACACUGGAACUGAGACACGGUCCAGACUCCUACGGGAGGCAGCAGUGGGGAAUAUUGGACAAUGGGCGCAAGCCUGAUCCAGCCAUACCGCGUGGGUGAAGAAGGCCUUCGGGUUGUAAAGCCCUUUGUUGGGAAAGAAAAGCAGCAGGUUAAUACCCCGCUGUUCUGACGGUACCCAAAGAAUAAGCACCGGCUAACUUCGUG